GUUCAUUACUUUAUUUUAUAUGUGCGAAUUUAAAAAUUCCGGAUACUUCUUAAGCACCCCAUACAUAAUUCCCACAGCUUGAAAACGGGAGUAAAAUCGACAUAUACACCGUAAGCAGCGGUUGCACCCGAAACCCUCAAAUCUGGAGGCUGGACUUCACAAGUUCGACUUCAACGUACGUAAUUCGAUCGGCCCUGGGUGAAUCAAACCGGUGGCAACAUGCAAUGCACACUGACGGAAGAGCCCCCCACAUUUGGGAGGCACAACCCCCCACUACGGAUGGUUACUGGCACGUAGUUCGAGUCGAUGGCACAAAUUAUUGGAAUAUAUAUAACCGAUACUACAAUUCAACUGGACCGAGCAGCCUUCGUAAUACAGGGUAAUUUUGUGCGUAAAUAAUUCGCUCAUGUCUUUAAUAAAACUCGGGUUUAAUAUCGAUUUAUAGGGUUGCUGUUAAAUGUAAAAUGAUGUAGUUAUGAAAUUGUUUUAUGUAUUUUUGUAAAUUGUUGAGUACGCGUCUAUAAUUGCCCCGAGACGUGGUGGUGGUUGCCAUGGUGACGUCAGGGUGGGAUUUUUGGUCGUCUCUCUUUGUUAAGUCGUAGUAAGUAAGUAGGUAGAAGAAUUCUACACAGUCGAGUUUUAG
Folsomia candida is the source of this 643-nucleotide long non-coding RNA. RefSeq lists it as uncharacterized. The record is from RefSeq and is a predicted model, not a curated record. NCBI's taxonomy places the organism in Eukaryota, Metazoa, Arthropoda, Collembola, Entomobryomorpha, Isotomidae. The transcript has 3 exons.